CGAAUGGCGUAAUGAUGGCCACACUGUCUCCUCCAGAGACUCAGCGAAGUUGAAAUGUUUGUGAUGAUGCAAUCUCCCCGCGGAAAGACGGAAAGACCCCAUGAACCUUUACUGUAGCUUUGUAUUGGACUUUGAACGGAUCUGUGUAGGAUAGGUGGGAGGCUUUGAAGCCAGGACGCUAGUUCUGGUGGAGCCGACGUUGAAAUACCACCCUGGUGCGUUUGAGGUUCUAACCUAGGUCCCUAAUCGGGAUCGGGGACAGUGCAUGGUAGGCAGUUUGACUGGGGCGGUCUCCUCCCAAAGCGUAACGGAGGAGUUCGAAGGUACGCUAGGUACGGUCGGACAUCGUGCUAAUAGUGCAAUGGCAUAAGCGUGCUUAACUGCGAGACUGACAAGUCGAGCAGAUGCGAAAGCAGGACAUAGUGAUCCGGUGGUUCUGUAUGGAAGGGCCAUCGCUCAACGGAUAAAAGGUACUCUGGGGAUAACAGGCUGAUACCGCCCAAGAGUUCAUAUCGACGGCGGUGUUUGGCACCUCGAUGUCGGCUCAUCUCAUCCUGGGGCUGUAGUCGGUCCCAAGGGUAUGGCUGUUCGCCAUUUAAAGAGGUACGUGAGCUGGGUUUAAAACGUCGUGAGACAGUUUUGUCCCUAUCUUCCGUGGGCGCUGCAGAUUUGAGGAAGCCUGCUCCUAGUACGAGAGGACCGGAGUGGACACACCUCUGGUGUACCUGUUGUCACGCCAGUGGCAUCGCAGGGUAGCUACGUGUGGAAGAGAUAACCGCUGAAAGCAUCUAAGCGGGAAACUCGUUUCAAGAUGAGAUCUGCCGGGGCCUUCGAGCCCCCUGAAGGGUCGUUGUAGACCACGACGUUGAUAGGCUGGGUGUGGAAGCGCAGUAAUGCGUUAAGCUAACCAGUACUAAUUGCCCGUGCGGCUUGACCCUAUAACUUUG
This 947-nucleotide ribosomal RNA is filed under the name Escherichia coli. Its description in RNAcentral is "partial 23S ribosomal RNA". It matches the Rfam family "Bacterial large subunit ribosomal RNA", at positions 1993 to 2925 of the family's 2925-position model. Lineage: Bacteria; Pseudomonadati; Pseudomonadota; Gammaproteobacteria; Enterobacterales; Enterobacteriaceae. The record is from RNAcentral.